CUAAAUACUCUCUAGUGACCGAUAGUGAACCAGUACCGUGAGGGAAAGGUGAAAAGCACCCCGGAAGGGGAGUGAAAUAGAACCUGAAACCGUGUGCUUACAAGUAGUCAGAGCCCGUUAAUGGGUGAUGGCGUGCCUUUUGUAGAAUGAACCGGCGAGUUACGAUUUGAUGCAAGGUUAAGCAGUAAAUGUGGAGCCGUAGCGAAAGCGAGUCUGAAUAGGGCGUUUAGUAUUUGGUCGUAGACCCGAAACCAGGUGAUCUACCCUUGGUCAGGUUGAAGUUCAGGUAACACUGAAUGGAGGACCGAACCGACUUACGUUGAAAAGUGAGCGGAUGAACUGAGGGUAGCGGAGAAAUUCCAAUCGAACCUGGAGAUAGCUGGUUCUCUCCGAAAUAGCUUUAGGGCUAGCCUCAAGUGAUGAUUAUUGGAGGUAGAGCACUGUUUGGACGAGGGGCCCCUCUCGGGUUACCGAAUUCAGACAAACUCCGAAUGCCAAUUAAUUUAACUUGGGAGUCAGAACAUGGGUGAUAAGGUCCGUGUUCGAAAGGGAAACAGCCCAGACCACCAGCUAAGGUCCCAAAAUAUAUGUUAAGUGGAAAAGGAUGUGGCGUUGCCCAGACAACUAGGAUGUUGGCUUAGAAGCAGCCAUCAUUUAAAGAGUGCGUAAUAGCUCACUAGUCGAGUGACACUGCGCCGAAAAUGUACCGGGGCUAAACAUAUUACCGAAGCUGUGGAUUGUCCUUUGGACAAUGGUAGGAGAGCGUUCUAAGG
Molecule: ribosomal RNA, 773 nt
Filed under: Staphylococcus aureus
Lineage: Bacteria; Bacillati; Bacillota; Bacilli; Caryophanales; Staphylococcaceae
Description: partial 23S ribosomal RNA
Rfam family: Bacterial large subunit ribosomal RNA
Source: RNAcentral